Molecule: ribosomal RNA, 1344 nt
Filed under: uncultured bacterium
Lineage: Bacteria
Description: 16S ribosomal RNA
Rfam family: Bacterial small subunit ribosomal RNA
Source: RNAcentral
GACGAACGCUGGCGUCGUGCUUAACACAUGCAAGUCGAACGGAAAGGCCCUGCUUUUGUGGGGUGCUCGAGUGGCGAACGGGUGAGUAACACGUGAGUAACCUGCCCUUGACUUUGGGAUAACUUCAGGAAACUGGGGCUAAUACCGGAUAGGAGCUCCUGCUGCAUGGUGGGGGUUGGAAAGUUUCGGCGGUUGGGGAUGGACUCGCGGCUUAUCAGCUUGUUGGUGGGGUAGUGGCUUACCAAGGCUUUGACGGGUAGCCGGCCUGAGAGGGUGACCGGCCACAUUGGGACUGAGAUACGGCCCAGACUCCUACGGGAGGCAGCAGUGGGGAAUAUUGCACAAUGGGCGGAAGCCUGAUGCAGCAACGCCGCGUGCGGGAUGACGGCCUUCGGGUUGUAAACCGCUUUCGCCUGUGACGAAGCGUGAGUGACGGUAAUGGGUAAAGAAGCACCGGCUAACUACGUGCCAGCAGCCGCGGUGAUACGUAGGGUGCGAGCGUUGUCCGGAUUUAUUGGGCGUAAAGGGCUCGUAGGUGGUUGAUCGCGUCGGAAGUGUAAUCUUGGGGCUUAACCCUGAGCGUGCUUUCGAUACGGGUUGACUUGAGGAAGGUAGGGGAGAAUGGAAUUCCUGGUGGAGCGGUGGAAUGCGCAGAUAUCAGGAGGAACACCAGUGGCGAAGGCGGUUCUCUGGGCCUUUCCUGACGCUGAGGAGCGAAAGCGUGGGGAGCGAACAGGCUUAGAUACCCUGGUAGUCCACGCUGUAAACGGUGGGUACUAGGUGUGGGGUCCAUUCCACGGGUUCCGUGCCGUAGCUAACGCUUUAAGUACCCCGCCUGGGGAGUACGGCCGCAAGGCUAAAACUCAAAGGAAUUGACGGGGCCCCGCACAAGCGGCGGAGCAUGCGGAUUAAUUCGAUGCAACGCGUAGAACCUUACCUGGGUUUGACAUGGAUCGGAAGCGCUCAGAGAUGGGUGUGCCUCUUUUGGGGUCGGUUCACAGGUGGUGCAUGGCUGUCGUCAGCUCGUGUCGUGAGAUGUUGGGUUAAGUCCCGCAACGAGCGCAACCCUUGUUCACUGUUGCCAGCACGUUAUGGUGGGGACUCAGCCGAGACCGCCGGGGUCAACUCGGAGGAAGGUGGGGAUGACGACAAGUCAUCAUGCCCCCUUAUGUCCAGGGCUUCACGCAUGCUACGAUGGCUGGUACAGAGAGUGGCGAGCCUGUGAGGGUGAGCGAAUCUCGGAAAGCCGGUCUCAGUUCGGAUUGGGGUCUGCAACUCGACCUCAUGAAGUCGGAGUCGCUAGUAAUCGCAGAUCAGCAACGCUGCGGUGAAUACGUUCCCGGG